AACUUUCAACAACGGAUCUCUUGGUUCCGGCAUCGAUGAAGAACGCAGCGAAAUGCGAUACGUAAUGUGAAUUGCAAAUUCAGUGAAUCAUCGAGUCUUUGAACGCACAUUGCGCCCCCUGGUAUUCCGGGGGGCAUGCCUGUCCGAGCGUCAUUGCUGCCCUCAAGCCCGGCUUGUGUGUUGGGCCCCGUCCCCCGAU
This 199-nucleotide ribosomal RNA is filed under the name Penicillium sp. 0109CI60H2. RNAcentral describes it as "5.8S ribosomal RNA". The stretch from base 1 to 153 matches the Rfam family "5.8S ribosomal RNA". From Rfam's summary of the family: 5.8S ribosomal RNA (5.8S rRNA) is a component of the large subunit of the eukaryotic ribosome. It is transcribed by RNA polymerase I as part of the 45S precursor that also contains 18S and 28S rRNA. Functionally, it is thought that 5.8S rRNA may be involved in ribosome translocation. The record is from RNAcentral. Lineage: Eukaryota; Fungi; Ascomycota; Eurotiomycetes; Eurotiales; Aspergillaceae.